CCUUAGACUGGGAUAACUUCGGAAACUGAGGAUAAUACUGGAUAGGCAAUUAUUCCUGGAAUGGAUUUUUGUUUAAAUGUUUUUUCGCCUAAGGAUGGGUCUGCGGCCGAUUAGGUAGUUGGUUAGGUAACGGCUUACCAAGCCAUUGAUCGGUACGGGUUGUGAGAGCAAGAGCCCGGAGAUGGAACCUGAGACAAGGUUCCAGGCCCUACGGGGUGCAGCAGGCGCGAAACCUCCGCAAUGUGAGAAAUCGCGACGGGGGGAUCCCAAGUGCCAUCCUUAACGGGAUGGCUUUUCAUUAGUGUAAAGAGCUUUUGGAAUAAGGGCUGGGCAAGACCGGUGCCAGCCGCCGCGGUAACACCGGCAGCUCUAGUGGUAGCAGUUUUUAUUGGGCCUAAAGCGUCCGUAGCCGGUUUAAUAAGUCUCUGGUGAAAUCCUGUAGCUUAACUGUGGGAAUUGCUGGAGAUACUAUUAGACUUGAGACCGGGAGAGGUUAGAGGUACUCCCAGGGUA
This 513-nucleotide ribosomal RNA is filed under the name uncultured rumen archaeon. RNAcentral describes it as "bacterial SSU rRNA". It matches the Rfam family "Archaeal small subunit ribosomal RNA", at positions 113 to 628 of the family's 1478-position model. The record is from RNAcentral.